This 340-nucleotide ribosomal RNA is filed under the name uncultured Ruminococcus sp. Its description in RNAcentral is "bacterial SSU rRNA". It matches the Rfam family "Bacterial small subunit ribosomal RNA", at positions 1 to 339 of the family's 1533-position model. The record is from RNAcentral. Lineage: Bacteria; Bacillati; Bacillota; Clostridia; Eubacteriales; Oscillospiraceae.
AGUAGUUUGAUCAUGGCUCGAGGACGAACGCUGGCGGCACGCUUAACACAUGCAAGUCGAACGGAGAUAGCACGGAGCUUGCUCUGAGCUAUCUUAGUGGCGGACGGGUGAGUAACACGUGAGCAACCUGCCUUUGAGAUUGGGAUAGCUUCUGGAAACGGAUGGUAAUACCGAAUAAUGUUGUGAGACCGCAUGAUUUUACAACCAAAGAUUUAUCGCUCAAAGAUGGGCUCGCGGCUGAUUAGAUAGUUGGUGGGGUAACGGCCUACCAAGUCGACGAUCAGUAGCCGGACUGAGAGGUUGAACGGCCACAUUGGGACUGAGACACGGCCCAGACUCC